GCCCUACGGGGGAUAGCUGGGGACCUUCUGGCCUUGCUCGAUUGGAUGAUCCCAGGUGGGAUUAGCUAGUUGGUGAGGUAAUGGCUCACCAAGGCGACUAUCCCUAGCUGGUCUGAGAGGAUGAUCAGCCACACUGGAACUGAUACACGGUCCAGACUCCUUCGGGAGGCAUCAGUGGGUAAUAUUGCACUUUGGGGGAAACCCUGAUGCUCCAUGCCGCGUGUGUGAAAAAGGCCU
This 237-nucleotide ribosomal RNA is filed under the name Aeromonas veronii. RNAcentral's name for it is "partial 16S ribosomal RNA". It matches the Rfam family "Bacterial small subunit ribosomal RNA", at positions 191 to 417 of the family's 1533-position model. Lineage: Bacteria; Pseudomonadati; Pseudomonadota; Gammaproteobacteria; Aeromonadales; Aeromonadaceae. The record is from RNAcentral.